This 76-nucleotide transfer RNA is filed under the name Cronobacter sakazakii. RNAcentral describes it as "tRNA-Arg(tcg)". Lineage: Bacteria; Pseudomonadati; Pseudomonadota; Gammaproteobacteria; Enterobacterales; Enterobacteriaceae. RNAcentral also lists the same sequence under 1 other name. The record is from RNAcentral.
UACUGUGCAGGAAGAUGGUGCAUCCGGGAGGAUUCGAACCUCCGACCGCUCGGUUCGUAGCCGAGUACUCUAUCCA